UACGGAGGGUGCGAGCGUUGUCCGGAAUUACUGGGCGUAAAGCGUGCGUAGACGGUUAUUUAAGUCGGGUGUGAAAGCCCCGGGCUCAACCUGGGAAUUGCAUUCGAGACUGAAUAGCUAGGGUACGGUAGAGGGAAGUGGAAUUUCCGGUGUAGCGGUGAAAUGCGUAGAUAUCGGAAGGAACAUCAGUGGCGAAAGCGGCUCUCUGGGACGGUACUGACGCUGAGACGCGAAAGCGUGGGGAGCAAACAGG
Molecule: ribosomal RNA, 253 nt
Filed under: uncultured bacterium
Lineage: Bacteria
Description: partial 16S ribosomal RNA
Rfam family: Bacterial small subunit ribosomal RNA
Source: RNAcentral